GACGAACGCUGGCGGCGUGCUUAACACAUGCAAGUCGAACGGAAAGGCCCUGCUUUUGUGGGGUGCUCGAGUGGCGAACGGGUGAGUAACACGUGAGUAACAUGUCCUUGACUUUGGGAUAACUUCAGGAAACUGGGGAUAUUACCGGAUAGGAGCUCCUGCUGCAUGGUGGGGGAUGGAAAGUUUCGGCGGUUGGGGAUGGACUCGCGGCUUAUCAGCUUGUUGGGGAGGUAGUGGCUUACCAAGGCUUUGACGGGUAGCCGGCCUGAGAGGGUGACCGGCCACAUUGGGACUGAGAUACGGCCCAGACUCCUACGUGAGGCAGCAGUGGGGAAUAUUGCACAAUGGGCGGAAGCCUGAUGCAGCAACGCCGCGUUCGGGAUGACGGCCUUCGGGUUGUAAACCGCCUUCGCCUGUGACGAAGCGUGAGUGACGGUAAUGGGUAAAGAAGCACCGGCUAACUACGUG
RNAcentral lists this ribosomal RNA (468 nucleotides) under uncultured bacterium. RNAcentral's name for it is "partial 16S ribosomal RNA". It matches the Rfam family "Bacterial small subunit ribosomal RNA", at positions 28 to 507 of the family's 1533-position model. The record is from RNAcentral.